This 580-nucleotide ribosomal RNA is filed under the name Phoma herbarum. RNAcentral's name for it is "eukaryotic LSU rRNA". It matches the Rfam family "Eukaryotic large subunit ribosomal RNA", at positions 37 to 632 of the family's 3401-position model. The record is from RNAcentral. Lineage: Eukaryota; Fungi; Ascomycota; Dothideomycetes; Pleosporales; Didymellaceae.
AGCAUAUCAAUAAGCGGAGGAAAAGAAACCAACAGGGAUUGCCCUAGUAACGGCGAGUGAAGCGGCAACAGCUCAAAUUUGAAAUCUGGCGUCUUUGGCGUCCGAGUUGUAAUUUGCAGAGGGCGCUUUGGCAUUGGCAGCGGUCCAAGUUCCUUGGAACAGGACGUCACAGAGGGUGAGAAUCCCGUACGUGGUCGCUAGCCUUUACCGUGUAAAGCCCCUUCGACGAGUCGAGUUGUUUGGGAAUGCAGCUCUAAAUGGGAGGUAAAUUUCUUCUAAAGCUAAAUACUGGCCAGAGACCGAUAGCGCACAAGUAGAGUGAUCGAAAGAUGAAAAGCACUUUGGAAAGAGAGUUAAAAAGCACGUGAAAUUGUUGAAAGGGAAGCGCUUGCAGCCAGACUUGCCUGUAGUUGCUCAUCCGGGUUUUUACCCGGUGCACUCUUCUAUAGGCAGGCCAGCAUCAGUUUGGGCGGUUGGAUAAAGGUCUCUGUCAUGUACCUCUCUUCGGGGAGAACUUAUAGGGGAGACGACAUGCAACCAGCCUGGACUGAGGUCCGCGCAUCUGCUAGGAUGCUGGCGU